RNAcentral lists this ribosomal RNA (1366 nucleotides) under Bacillus licheniformis. RNAcentral's name for it is "bacterial SSU rRNA". It matches the Rfam family "Bacterial small subunit ribosomal RNA", at positions 27 to 1375 of the family's 1533-position model. Lineage: Bacteria; Bacillati; Bacillota; Bacilli; Caryophanales; Bacillaceae. The record is from RNAcentral.
GGACGAACGCUGGCGGCGUGCCUAAUACAUGCAAGUCGAGCGGACCGACGGGAGCUUGCUCCCUUAGGUCAGCGGCGGACGGGUGAGUAACACGUGGGUAACCUGCCUGUAAGACUGGGAUAACUCCGGGAAACCGGGGCUAAUACCGGAUGCUUGAUUGAACCGCAUGGUUCAAUCAUAAAAGGUGGCUUUUAGCUACCACUUACAGAUGGACCCGCGGCGCAUUAGCUAGUUGGUGAGGUAACGGCUCACCAAGGCGACGAUGCGUAGCCGACCUGAGAGGGUGAUCGGCCACACUGGGACUGAGACACGGCCCAGACUCCUACGGGAGGCAGCAGUAGGGAAUCUUCCGCAAUGGACGAAAGUCUGACGGAGCAACGCCGCGUGAGUGAUGAAGGUUUUCGGAUCGUAAAACUCUGUUGUUAGGGAAGAACAAGUACCGUUCGAAUAGGGCGGCACCUUGACGGUACCUAACCAGAAAGCCACGGCUAACUACGUGCCAGCAGCCGCGGUAAUACGUAGGUGGCAAGCGUUGUCCGGAAUUAUUGGGCGUAAAGCGCGCGCAGGCGGUUUCUUAAGUCUGAUGUGAAAGCCCCCGGCUCAACCGGGGAGGGUCAUUGGAAACUGGGGAACUUGAGUGCAGAAGAGGAGAGUGGAAUUCCACGUGUAGCGGUGAAAUGCGUAGAGAUGUGGAGGAACACCAGUGGCGAAGGCGACUCUCUGGUCUGUAACUGACGCUGAGGCGCGAAAGCGUGGGGAGCGAACAGGAUUAGAUACCCUGGUAGUCCACGCCGUAAACGAUGAGUGCUAAGUGUUAGAGGGUUUCCGCCCUUUAGUGCUGCAGCAAACGCAUUAAGCACUCCGCCUGGGGAGUACGGUCGCAAGACUGAAACUCAAAGGAAUUGACGGGGGCCCGCACAAGCGGUGGAGCAUGUGGUUUAAUUCGAAGCAACGCGAAGAACCUUACCAGGUCUUGACAUCCUCUGACAACCCUAGAGAUAGGGCUUCCCCUUCGGGGGCAGAGUGACAGGUGGUGCAUGGUUGUCGUCAGCUCGUGUCGUGAGAUGUUGGGUUAAGUCCCGCAACGAGCGCAACCCUUGAUCUUAGUUGCCAGCAUUCAGUUGGGCACUCUAAGGUGACUGCCGGUGACAAACCGGAGGAAGGUGGGGAUGACGUCAAAUCAUCAUGCCCCUUAUGACCUGGCCUACACACGUGCUACAAUGGGCAGAACAAAGGGCAGCGAAGCCGCGAGGCUAAGCCAAUCCCACAAAUCUGUUCUCAGUUCGGAUCGCAGUCUGCAACUCGACUGCGUGAAGCUGGAAUCGCUAGUAAUCGCGGAUCAGCAUGCCGCGGUGAAUACGUUCCC